AGUGAACGCUGGCGGCGUGCUUAACACAUGCAAGUCGAACGAGAACGGAUUAUAGCUUGCUAUAAUUGUCAGCUAGGUGGCGCACGGGUGAGUAAUGUAUAGGUAAUAUGCCUCUUACUAAGGGAUAACAAAUGGAAACGUUUGCUAAUACCUUAUACUCCUUAUUAACAGAAGUUAAUAAGGGAAAGAUUUAUUGGUAAGAGAUUAGCCUGUAUUGUAUCAGUUAGUUGGUGGGGUAAUGGCUUACCAAGACUAUGACACAUAACUGGUUUGAGAGGAUGAUCAGUCACACUGGAACUGAGACACGGUCCAGACUGCUACGGGCGGCAGCAGUGGGGAAUAUUGCACAAUGGACGAAAGUCUUAUGCAACAUCGCCGCGUGGAGGAUGACACAUUUCGGUGCGUAAACUCCUUUUAUAUUAGAAGAUAAUGACGGUAUUAUAUGAAUAAGCACCGGCUAACUCCGUGCCAGCCGCCGCCGUAA
This 484-nucleotide ribosomal RNA is filed under the name uncultured bacterium. RNAcentral's name for it is "partial 16S ribosomal RNA". It matches the Rfam family "Bacterial small subunit ribosomal RNA", at positions 29 to 523 of the family's 1533-position model. The record is from RNAcentral.